This 239-nucleotide long non-coding RNA is filed under the name Capsicum annuum. RNAcentral's name for it is "long non-coding RNA (CANN_LNC009805)". Lineage: Eukaryota; Viridiplantae; Streptophyta; Magnoliopsida; Solanales; Solanaceae. The record is from RNAcentral.
GACGACCUCGCCACCUUCUGAAUAAUUACACUAACAUCCUCAGAAUCCAAGAGAUGAACUCUGAGAUUAGCCAAACCGUAAAUAUCCUUCACCAAGUCCCACAUCUCCUCAUCCACAUGAGAUAAGCUUCCCAUGGACAAUCGUCUAAGAGCAUCAACAACCACAUUAACUUUACCUAGGUGAUAGUAAGGGCUCAUGUCAUAGUACUUUAGAAACUCAAGCCACCUCCUUUUCCUAAG